CACGGUCGUCCGCAGACCCUCGGUGUUUCCGUUCUCCGCUCCGUCCCCGGAACCCUAAGCCGGAGCAUCUUCCUGGUCGCCGUUGUCUUAUAGGCUUCCUAUUUCACGGUCCUCCGCAGGCCUUCGGUCCUUCGGUUUUCCGUCCCGUCCCCGGAACCCUAAGCCGGUGCAUCUUCCUGGCCACCGUUGUCUUAUAGGCUUCCUAUUUCAGCUUCCAUACCUGACUAUACAGGCCGAAACGCCGCCUCUUCUUCGUCGUCGAGCUUGUAUAUCCGCGUAAGUGUUCAGAUUCCUUCUCCUGACGUCGUUGAAUCUCGAUCUGGUUUGAGAAGGAAAAGGGUGCAGUGCGCUGACCAGCGAGAUGGCGGGCAUUGGGAAUGAAUUGGAGCUGUAAAUUUGAUUCUAUCCAUUUAUGGAGAUCUGAUCAAUCCUGGCCAUUCAUUUAGAUUUGAUUGGUUUGGGAUGAUCUGAACCGUUCAUUGUGAUCUAACUAUCCCGACCAUCCAUGAGAAUUUAGCUGAUCUAGACCAUCCGACUAGAUCUGAUCUCAAUCGUUCAGAUAUGAGAAGCGACAGUGAGAAGACAACACUGUGGAUGAAGCACACUGAAGCAGGAUCGCGAGUUUGAAGAAGGCGUACGAGACGCCCGCAUGUCGAUUCAUUGAUACCGGAGAGUAAGCGUGGCAGAACUACUGUGUCAAAGAUCCUACAGUGGGAUCAAUUUAUUUGUUUGGACUUGUCGAUUCUUAGAAUUAUUUUUUUUCUUAUUUAUAAUUUCUUUCACAUAUCAAUUGUAUACAGAUAACUGAGUUACACGAGAUGGUUGCACAUUCGCAAGAGUUGCAUGAGUCGGCUCCACAUUUGCAAGAGUUGCACGAAUCACAUCUGCAAGAGCGGGACAAAACAGGUAUUUGCUUAGUAUA
Long non-coding RNA from Zingiber officinale, 922 nucleotides. RefSeq lists it as uncharacterized. NCBI's taxonomy places the organism in Eukaryota, Viridiplantae, Streptophyta, Magnoliopsida, Zingiberales, Zingiberaceae. The record is from RefSeq and is a predicted model, not a curated record. The transcript has 2 exons.